RNAcentral lists this ribosomal RNA (35 nucleotides) under Colletotrichum gloeosporioides. RNAcentral describes it as "partial 28S ribosomal RNA". The record is from RNAcentral. Lineage: Eukaryota; Fungi; Ascomycota; Sordariomycetes; Glomerellales; Glomerellaceae.
GUUGAACUCGGAUCAGGUAUGAAUACCCGCUGAAC